RNAcentral lists this ribosomal RNA (1289 nucleotides) under Limosilactobacillus fermentum. RNAcentral's name for it is "bacterial SSU rRNA". It matches the Rfam family "Bacterial small subunit ribosomal RNA", at positions 84 to 1371 of the family's 1533-position model. Lineage: Bacteria; Bacillati; Bacillota; Bacilli; Lactobacillales; Lactobacillaceae. The record is from RNAcentral.
UUUUUCCCCAAGGGGGGGGCGGGGGUAACCCCGGGGAACCCCCCCAAAGGGGGGGAAAAUUUGGAAACGGUUUUAAUCCCCAAAAAACCUUGUUCCCAUGACUACCGCUAAAAGAUGCUUUAGCUUUCCCUUUUGGAUGGACCUGCGGUGCAUUAGCUUGUUGGUGGGGUAACGCCUACCAAGGCGAUGAUGCAUAGCCGAAUUGAGAGGCUGAUCGGCCACAAUGGGACUGAGACCCGGCCCAUACUCCUACGGGAGGCAGCAGUAGGGAAUCUUCCACAAUGGGCGCAAGCCUGAUGGAGCAACACCGCGUGAGUGAAGAAGGGUUUCGGCUCGUAAAGCUCUGUUGUUAAAGAAGAACACGUAUGAGAGUAACUGUUCAUACGUUGACGGUAUUUAACCAGAAAGUCACGGCUAACUACGUGCCAGCAGCCGCGGUAAUACGUAGGUGGCAAGCGUUAUCCGGAUUUAUUGGGCGUAAAGAGAGUGCAGGCGGUUUUCUAAGUCUGAUGUGAAAGCCUUCGGCUUAACCGGAGAAGUGCAUCGGAAACUGGAUAACUUGAGUGCAGAAGAGGGUAGUGGAACUCCAUGUGUAGCGGUGGAAUGCGUAGAUAUAUGGAAGAACACCAGUGGCGAAGGCGGCUACCUGGUCUGCAACUGACGCUGAGACUCGAAAGCAUGGGUAGCGAACAGGAUUAGAUACCCUGGUAGUCCAUGCCGUAAACGAUGAGUGCUAGGUGUUGGAGGGUUUCCGCCCUUCAGUGCCGGAGCUAACGCAUUAAGCACUCCGCCUGGGGAGUACGACCGCAAGGUUGAAACUCAAAGGAAUUGACGGGGGCCCGCACAAGCGGUGGAGCAUGUGGUUUAAUUCGAAGCUACGCGAAGAACCUUACCAGGUCUUGACAUCUUGCGCCAACCCUAGAGAUAGGGCGUUUCCUUCGGGAACGCAAUGACAGGUGGUGCAUGGUCGUCGUCAGCUCGUGUCGUGAGAUGUUGGGUUAAGUCCCGCAACGAGCGCAACCCUUGUUACUAGUUGCCAGCAUUAAGUUGGGCACUCUAGUGAGACUGCCGGUGACAAACCGGAGGAAGGUGGGGACGACGUCAGAUCAUCAUGCCCCUUAUGACCUGGGCUACACACGUGCUACAAUGGACGGUACAACGAGUCGCGAACUCGCGAGGGCAAGCAAAUCUCUUAAAACCGUUCUCAGUUCGGACUGCAGGCUGCAACUCGCCUGCACGAAGUCGGAAUCGCUAGUAAUCGCGGAUCAGCAUUCCCGCGGUUCCCCUGG